UACGUAUGGAGCAAGCGUUAUCCGGAUUUACUGGGUGUAAAGGGAGCGUAGGCGGCGGAGCAAGUCUGAUGUGAAAGCCCGGGGCUCAACCCCGGUCGUGCAUUGGAAACUGUUUGGCUAGAGUGUCGGAGGGGUAAGCGGAAUUCCUAGUGUAGCGGUGAAAUGCGUAGAUAUUAGGAAGAACACCGGAGGCGAAGGCGGCUUACUGGACGAUUACUGACGCUGAGGCUCGAAAGCGUGGGGAGCGAACAGG
Molecule: ribosomal RNA, 253 nt
Filed under: uncultured bacterium
Lineage: Bacteria
Description: partial 16S ribosomal RNA
Rfam family: Bacterial small subunit ribosomal RNA
Source: RNAcentral